This 351-nucleotide unclassified non-coding RNA is filed under the name uncultured Hydropus. RNAcentral describes it as "sequence contains ITS1". The stretch from base 1 to 105 matches the Rfam family "5.8S ribosomal RNA", at positions 50 to 154 of the family's 154-position model. The record is from RNAcentral. Lineage: Eukaryota; Fungi; Basidiomycota; Agaricomycetes; Agaricales; Tricholomataceae.
GAAAUGCGAUAAGUAAUGUGAAUUGCAGAAUUCAGUGAAUCAUCGAAUCUUUGAACGCACCUUGCACUCUUUGGUAUUCCGAGGAGUAUGCCUGUUUGAGUGUCAUUAAAUUCUCAAACUUACUUCUUGUUAAUCUCUUGACUUGAAGCCAGUUUGGAUGUGGGAGUUGCUGGUUUUUCAAAUCAGCUCUCUUGAAAUGUAUUAGUAGUUUGGCUUUGUCCCACAUUCUCAAUUGAUGUGAUAGUUUAUCUACAUCAUUGGAGAAUGAAUCUGCUUCUAACUUUGUUGGUCUUUUGACUGACACUUUGACAAUUUGACCUCAAAUCAGGUAGGAUUACCCGCUGAACUUAA